UUUAGCCCUAAAUUUGCCUUUCGAUUACCAUUCCAGUUGAUUUUAUUUUAUUGUCAACAUUGUUAAUGAUAAAAAUAGAGUCGCUUCGCAGUUAUUUUUACUUUCCGAAAGGAGGCAAUUAGACUUCUAAUCAGGAAUACACAAAAAGGAGGGGAAAAAAUCUCCCAUGAUUAACUGCACUACUUUGUUCAAAUUGCAGCUAUAAAAUUCAGAACAAUUUGCCUGUAAUGAUUAUGGACUGGGUUUAUUUUGGGAGGUGGAAUAAAAGUGGAUAUAGCAUAAAUUAUCCUCUAAUUAUACACCAGUGUCGCCUCAAUUAUCCUCUUAUCAAAAUGGUUGUCUAACUGCCGCAUUUAGUUUCAAUUCUCUCCCAUUUUUUUCUAUAAAAAGAACUUCAUACCUUGUUAUUAUUAAUCCAUUUAUUAUUUGCAAGGGGAUUUAUAGCUGAGCAUCCAGGUGGUAUCGCCACAUCUCUUGCAAAGAUGGACUGGGGAAAGACAUAAUGUUGGAACCAACACGGAUGCGGAUCUAUUGCUUUCUCUCACCCGCUCUCGCUCUCUCUCACUUUCUCGCUCUCUCUUUUCUUUGAAAGACAGUUUGUGAUUUAAAGCUGGCGUCCACUGAAGAAAGGGAAAAAUGGGAUCUUUGGAGAUUUACGGAAGAGGAGACAGUUGCUGUUGAAGUUGACUUGAAGCUUUUGUUGUUGGGCAGUACAUCCAGUCCAUCAUUUUCAGGCAUCUUCUUACCUGCUCCUCACCGGUGUCUCAAUACAAGAAAAUAAGAUGUAUUUAAGGCCCCUGAAUUACA
Long non-coding RNA from Heteronotia binoei (common prickly gecko), 807 nucleotides. RefSeq lists it as uncharacterized. NCBI's taxonomy places the organism in Eukaryota, Metazoa, Chordata, Lepidosauria, Squamata, Gekkonidae. The transcript has 2 exons. The record is from RefSeq and is a predicted model, not a curated record.